GUAGUUAGCCGGGGCUUCCUCACAAGGUACCGUCACUUCUUCGUCCCUUGCGACAGAGGUUUACAACCCGAAAGCCUUCUUCCCUCACGCGGCGUUGCUGGGUCAGGCUUGCGCCCAUUGCCCAAUAUUCCCCACUGCUGCCUCCCGUAGGAGUCUGGACCGUGUCUCAGUUCCAGUGUGGCCGAUCAGCCUCUCAGCUCGGCUACCCAUCGUCGGCAUGGUGGGCCGUUACCCCGCCAUCUACCUAAUGGGACGCGAACCCCUCCUAAAGCGAUAAAUCUUUGACCCCUGCCCGAUGCCAGGCUGUGGUCUCAUGCGGUAUUAGCACCGAUUUCUCGACGUUAUCCCCCUCUUUAGGUCAGGUUGUUCACGCGUUACUCACCCGUUCGCCACUAAAAUGUCCCGACCGAAAUCAAAACAUUCCCGUUCGACUUGCAUGUGUUAGGCACGCCGCCAGCGUUCGUCCUCGAGCCACUGAUACAACUAACUACGUACUACGUAGACGGGCGGUCGGCGACGGACGGCGACUA
RNAcentral lists this ribosomal RNA (530 nucleotides) under uncultured bacterium. RNAcentral's name for it is "partial 16S ribosomal RNA". The record is from RNAcentral.